Molecule: long non-coding RNA, 1501 nt
Organism: Vulpes vulpes (red fox)
Lineage: Eukaryota; Metazoa; Chordata; Mammalia; Carnivora; Canidae
Source: Ensembl
GGGGCAUGUUUGGGAUCCGAGGCGAAGGGACAGGACGGUCGCGUGCGUGAGACGCUGCCCGGCCCGGCCCGGCCCCGGUCCUCCCGCCGACGUGGAGCUGCGCCUGGACUCGCCUUGGGCACCUCCCGCGUGGUGCAGCUCCGCGCGGCCGAUGUCUUACUUCUGGGCAUCUUCAAGCAGAGGUCUGGAGCAGCCUACGUCGGGAGCACCCUAAGUCUAGAGCGGCAGUGUCCAAUGUUGUGGAACCUUCUGCCAUGUUGGAAAUACUCUGUCAACUGUGCUGUACUACGAUGGUAUCCACUAGCCUCAGGUGACUCUCGGUCGCUUGCACGGUGACCAGUGCGUCGAGGAACUUAAUUUUCAAUUAGUUUACAUAUAAAUAACCACGAGUGGCUGGUCCUUGUCUUACUGGACAAUGUAAUCUUAGAAUUUAGACCUUGAGACCCCUUCUGAUUCUUGACUUGGUCGAGUUUUAAGUCAAAGAAGCCAAGUCUCAGGCACUGUUUUACAGUAGUCCCCCACCCCCUCCCGCGCAGAGCUGUCCUUCUAUCUUAGUGCUUGGUGAAUAACUCGGGUUCAGGUUUCCUGUAUCAAGCUCAGCCCCCGUUGCCCAAAGCUGUCAAGUUAGAGGAUGUAUUAAGAAGACAAAUUUCACAGCAAGGUGAAGAAUGAGCUGAGAUAGAAAGAAAGUAGCUCUGAAGAGUGCUUAGAGAGAGCCAUAACAGUAGAACAAGUAGAGGAGGAUGGAAGAACAUGAAGGAGAAUUCAUUUGGUUUCUUACAGAUUAUAGGGUGCAGAAGGAGUCAAAGACAGUGACAGAGGAUGACUAGAGGCAGUAGUGAUGUCAGUACUGAAAAGUAUUUCAUGAGGCACCCAAGUACUUAAUGCUUGUUGAAUUGCAUUUAAGUAUUUUAGUGAAAAUAUUCAAAUUUCUUUAGGUAAUGGAGAAAGAGUAACCUCAAUUUGUCGUCUAAAAACUCUUAGCCGACUAAUUAAGUGAAUAUUCUUAAGGUCUUUCUGAAUAUAGUAAUCAUAGGUAUUUACAUUGUGUGCUUACUGUAUAUGCUAAGAGGCAUUCUGAGUGCUUUGUGCAUAUUAUUAGUUCAUUAAAUCCUCAGGGCAACCCUAAGAGUGGGGGUUUAUCAUUCCCCCUGUGAAGAUGAAGGAACUGAAACACAAAGAAGUUAAAUAAUUUGCCCGAAGUCCUAGUAGAGUAGCAGAACUGGGAUUUGAACCUGGGCAGUCUGACUUCUCCUAGUUUAACACAGAUCAUUUAAAGUUUGCAGUACUGCUUUAUUUUCUGAUAUAUAUCGGAAUCUACAGAUCAUUUUUAAUCGAAGGAAAAUCAUAUUGCAAAAUUUAUACGGACAUGAAAUAAGAGCUAACAUUUAUUGAGCACUUACUGAGUCCUAGUAGAGGCUAUAUACUUUCACUAUUUUAAUGUUAUUUUCACUAAUUCUUGUUUAUGCAUUAAAUAAAAUAGCAUAUAUUAGGAUUGGCA